RNAcentral lists this long non-coding RNA (256 nucleotides) under Lathyrus oleraceus (garden pea). RNAcentral describes it as "Pisum sativum (pea) long non-coding RNA (PSAT_LNC026347)". The record is from RNAcentral. Lineage: Eukaryota; Viridiplantae; Streptophyta; Magnoliopsida; Fabales; Fabaceae.
CUGGUAGUCAAUUCUCGUUUGGCACAUCUCUUUCAAAAUCCAGUUCUCGUAUUGUAAUCCAGUUCUCGUAUGUCGUAUCUUUCAAAAUUUGGUUCUCGUCUGGUGGUCAAUUCUCGUUUGACUUAUCCUUCCAAACCUGGUUCUUGUCUAGUAGUCAAUUAUCGUUUGGAUCAUCUAUCAAAACCAAGUUCCCGUCUGGUAGUCAAUUCCCAUUUGAAUUAUCCCUUCCGAAUCUAGUUCUUAUCUGGUAGUCAAU